GAAUUUAUGAUUCAGCAUAAAUUCGGUUAUUAGUGUAAGCAUUGAUUACUUGUGUUAUUAGCUGUUUCACCUCUAUUAAAUGUAGGCUAUCAGAUGAUUGUUGGUCAAUGCGCAAUAUGACUGCGCACGCGAUCUUUUUCAUUCCGACAUUUGAAAGAAACAGACGGAAUAUUAUUUGGUGAUUUAAAGAAAAUUAUUUUGGUGAUUAAAAAGAUAUAGGAUCCACAUUGUGCAGGUUUUGGUACCACUUUUCUACAAUUGGAACUCAGUUGUUUGGCACUAAGAUGAAUACAAGAAGGUCAUCAAAAAGAUGGAAAGCCACUGCAACAUUAGGAGCUGUAUCAAGACAAGAGGAAACACAACUUGAACCAGGUUCAUUACCAGCAUCUAACGAUCCCCCAACUUCAGGAGGAUAGUUGUUCUUUUGAUGUAGUAAAUCGACCAGGUAAUGCAAUCGGUAAAGAUCAUUCAAAUCUCACGCAAACAACUAGUUACUCUCCUAGUCUUGAUUAAGAUGUUAGUCAGUACUUAAAAUAAAAUCAAAAAAUCAAACGGGCGAGUAUGUCAUCUUUGUUCUACUUAGGAACAACUUUAUAAUUGAUAAUGACCAGCAAAAAGUGUCAUAUGAACAGGGGAAACUUGUUAUUGAACCAGUUUUGCCUCAUACAAAAAUAACAAAUAAAGAAAUUGAACUUGAGUAUAAAUAUAUUGUUGCUGAGAUACUUUUGCAGUGGAAUUAAGCUCGAUAUAAAGUUCGACUGUUUGGGACUAGGCAUUCGACAACUUUGUUAAUAUAGCAGUAUUAUUAUAUCCUCAAUCGAUUUGGCUGUCAUUAAAACGAAUAUUAUGUUAUCUACGUUUAAUGUUUACAAUAUAUACUUGAUAUUCCUUGUACAACUGUUCACAUUAUUUAACACACAUUUCGAUGUUUCUCUUUCGAAUACAAAAUCUUUCUAAUUAGAUACGUUACAGUUUGAGAUAAUAAACUCCUAACGUAAUGUAUCUACAAGCUGCGAUGCCGAUUACGAUUUGAACUUUUCUUGACCUUAGAAAUGAUAUAUAGUAAAUGUAAGGAAACCGUUAACUCUCUGAGAUUGUAUAUUCAUGUCAACGAUUUGCAGACGAUAAUCUUAUAAAAGAUUAAAACUUUUGGUGAUCAAGUUUGUAAAAGUAACUUGUAAAAGAAAAUAGUGUACAAACGAUCUCUACGCUAAUGAUUAAUACUAAUAUAAAUAAAAAAAAAAAAAAAAAAUUAUUCUAACAAAUGAACUAAAUUACAAAUAAUAUUGUCAUCUCGCCAGAUAUCAAGAAAAAUAUAUAUAUUAUUGAACUCUAUUUAAUUUUAUCUAAGACUGACCAGUGAUUCGAAGGAACCACACACGUUAUUGAUGAGCGGCCUAGAGAAAUAUCCUAUUUUUGCUUAAACGAAAUAACUUACUAUUUACAAGUUUAGACCUGUCGCUGGUCAAUUGCUUUGUUAUAAGUCCCCUACCGAUUGAGUUUAAGGGGACUUAAGGUUCUCACUAUGUUCGUCUGUCUGUCUGUCCACCUGUCAAUCCGGCAAAUCAGUCUUCUACAUUUUUGUUUUCAUGCUUGAAGAUAUCGAUUUGAUAUUUGGUGUAUUGUUUUAUCAUGACAAGUUACUGACCAAGUAUGAAUGUUGUUCCGGUCUGAUGAUUUUGUGCAGAGUUGUGGUCAAAUACACACAAAUAAUUAGUUUUCCGCACAUUUAUUUUGUCAUAUUUGAAGGCGUUGAUUUGAUAAUUGGUUUAUAGUUUUAUCGUGACAAGUUACAGAUCAGGUUCGAAUUGUGUUCCGGUCUGAUGAUUUUGUGCAAACUAUGGUCCUUGGACUAAGAAAAUUCAUUAAAAUAAUCAGUUGUCUGCACAUGUUUUCGUCAUGCUUGAAUAUAUUGAUUUGAUAAAUUGUAUAUAGUUUUAUCAUGACAAGUUACAGACCAAGUUCGAAUUGCGUUCCAGUAUGAUGAUUCUGCGCAAAAAAUUGAAAACAACACGUUUAAUAAUUUCAUGCGUCCGAAGCGCCUUUCUGCAAAGUUAUGGUUCUUGGACUGAGAAAAUGCACUCAAAUAAUCAGUUUUCCGCAUAUUUGUUCGUCUUACUUGAAGAUAUCGAUUUGACAAUUGGUAUAUAGUUUUAUCAUGACAAGUUACAGAUCAAGUUCGAAUUGUAUUUCAGCCUAAUGAUUUUGUUCAAAGUUAUGGUCCUUGGACUAAGAAAAUUCCCCCAAAUAAUCAGUUUUCCGCAAUUAUUUUUUUGUUUUUGUUAUUGCUUGAAGAUAUUGAUUUGAUAAUUUGUACAUAGUUUUAUCAUGGUAAGGUACAUAUCAAGUUCAUAUUUUGUUCCAGUCUGCUGAUUUUUGUGCUGAGUUUUGGUCCUUGGACUUAAUAUUCUAUAAAUUCACACACAUUAUCAGUUUUCCUCAAUUUUUUGUUGUUGUCAUGCUUGAAGAUAUUGCUUUAAUAAUUGGUAUAUAGUUUUAUCAUGACAAGUAAUUGCUCAAGUUUCGAGUUUUGUUCCGGUUUGGUGAUUUUGUGCAGAGUAAUGGUCCCUGGACUUAAUAAAAAUUUACUUAAUAAUCAGUUUUCCACAUUUUUUUUUCUCGUCAUGCUUGAAUAUAUUGACUUGAUAUUUGUUCUAUAGUUUACACCAUGACAAGAUAUAGAUCCAGUUAAUAUUUUGUUCAAGUACAAUGAAUUAUUAACCGGUAGUGGCUAUGUAUUGCAAUGCAUUACUUUCAGAAUGCUUGUUUUGAUAGAACUCCUUUCUCUAGAUAUCAGUUUAGGAGUCCUAAAAUAGUCACUGAAUAUUUUCGGAUUAAGUCUAGGGAUACAAAGUUCUCGUUUCUUCAGGAAAGGCGCUGCUACAGAGCUGCCAUAAAUGGUUGACCUGAUUCUAAACCUCAGGCAAUGUGUAGAUGGAAGUCUAUGUCAUUUCAUUCAUAUAUUCAAAUACAACAAUGGGUAUAACUCUUUGAAUUUUUUCUAAUUUUAUGUUUAGAACUUGUAAUUACUUUAGUAAUACUAACCGUUAUGUAAGAUUAGCAGUUUCACCAGUAAUCAUUAGAGUUUGGUUUCCACCCUUGUAGAAAACGAAUUUAUUCAAGUUCGGAAUAUACCAGGUGGCAUUCAUCUUGUACAAGAUUAAACUGGAAUUCGGUUUUCAAUAUCUCUAAUUUUACACAUAUGUAGAUACGCGGAAUUGAUUGAGUUGACAAUACGACAGGAGUAUAACAUAUAAGAUGUGGGAAAAUUCUGUGAAUAUAGUUUCUGUUCUUUUACUGAAUAUCAGAUUGUUGUGGUCUUAAGUUUGCCAAAUAAACAUGACAUUAUUCCGUAGUAACAGAAACAAUGAUUAGAACCAGAAAGAGGAUAAUCAGCUGGCUGGCUAGUUUGAUCAUUCGUCAAGGGGGAUAUUGCAAUCAAUACAUACGAUACUCCUAUGUAUCUCCCAAUUCCAUAUUUAAAUGCCAAGAUGGUGAACAUUUGACUCAUAUUGGUAAUACAUUUUGCUUACCACAUUUCAAGGAGCGGUAGAAGCCUUUCUUGUCUACACACCACAUACUUUCCACAAUGUGUAUUAAGAAAUUGCAUGAUAUUCAUUAGAAUUCAGUUAUCGUUAGGGUUUAAAUAUAUGGAUCCUUUAUAUUGUAUUUGGCUCACAGCUUCUACGCAGCUCUAUCCGCUUUUAAUGGCGGUUGACCCGACAGUCAUUUAUGACUGUCUUGGUCAAUUUGGCACAUUUCGCUGCGUUUCCUUUAAAUAUGCGUUAUUUGGCGUCAUAUUUCAUUUAGCAUCCAAAACAUUUGAUAUUGUGGGUCUCUGUAUCCCAGGACCACCACACAAAAAUUUACGAAUCUCUGUUUCCCAGGAUUCAUUUAAUUGGAUGCUUCAUUUAUUGUAAAUAAUUAGUUAUCUAGUUAUCUAUCUACAUGUAUCUAUCUAGUUAUCUUUUUGUAGUCUGCCAAUAUGAAAGGUGACUACGUUUAAUUAAUUAUCUAUUUACUAUAUAUAUAUCUUAAUUAUUUAUCUAUUCAGUUAUCUAGUUAUCGUGUCGUAGUUUGCCAAUAUGAAAGGUGACUACGUUCAUCCAAAUAUCUAUUUACUAUACAUAUAUAUAUCUUAACUGUUUACCUAGUUAUAUGUGUUUAUAAUUUUAUAAUAAAGCUGUGGCCAAAUACUGCCAA
Long non-coding RNA from Mytilus californianus (California mussel), 4203 nucleotides. RefSeq lists it as uncharacterized. The transcript has 2 exons. NCBI's taxonomy places the organism in Eukaryota, Metazoa, Mollusca, Bivalvia, Mytilida, Mytilidae. The record is from RefSeq and is a predicted model, not a curated record.